GUUGGUACACAUUUUGGGAUUCUGCUCUGCUCACUUGGAGACACACGUACACAAGAGGGGAGAGAAAAGGAGAGCAAAGACAAAAAUUAUUACUUCCUCUUCAGGUGCUUUUACUCGCAGCCUCACUGCUAGAAAAAGACAAACACAACACACAGAGACUUAUCAGCCCCUCUCCGAUCAAGGGUAUUUAUACCAGUGUCUGUCUCAUUUAGACAUUGCUUUUAGUUGUCUCCUGAUUGCAGUUCACAGCUGUGUUGUACAACCUGUACCCUCCUAUCUAGGAUAGUUUGAUUAAAAGGAAAGUAAAAGAAGCAUGUGAAAAGACUACAAGAGCUACUGAGAGAAGGAUGACUUCAGGACCCCUAGUCUUCCCUUCCAAGUGGGUUUCCAGGACUGCGCUGAAAUUGGUGGACAUAGCGAUGACUUCUUUGUAUCUCCUCACCAGAAACUUACCAGAUGGUCUGACCAGAUCGAGUACAAACGAGGGGGAAUUGUUACAGUCACUGUGGGAACAUAAAUGGAGAACCAGCCUAAGAGUGAAGAGACUGAGGACAACAGAAUGAAUUGAUCACACUGUACCAUGAAGCAGAUGGUCCCGAUGAGGGGAAGGAGGAUUUGACCCUCACUAAGUGAAGGAGUUGCUGAUUUAGUCAAGACAAGAACAGGAUGCGAUGCUUUGGUCUAGAGCAUUGACAUUUGCAUCUCUGAGUGAGAGUGCUUGUUUUCAUUGGAGGAACAGCAAGACUGCCUUUUGAAACAUUUAAGGGGCUUAUGGUAUUACUGCAAAACACUCCGGACAUGCACAGCAUGAAGAAACAAGUUGGAAGGUACAUUUAGAUGCAGCAGACUCAAAUCAGGUAAACUCGCAGGAUUCACGUGGCCUCUGACACCAGGUGAUUGCAAAUGGUAAUAAACACAAUCCAAAUUUAGGUUUGCACACGCUUUCCUAGGAAGGGGUUGGAAAAUAACUGUGUUGUAACAGACUAAGUGGUUAGAGAACUUUGUUAAUUCAGACAUAAACCUGUUAGCAUAAAAUAUUGCCAGAGGUCUGAAAUGGCCUCAGACAGUUUACAUUUUUCAUCACUGCUAGAGACAACUAACCCUUUCUCUCCCUAAGGAUAAUAUUGCUUCUCCACAAGGCAGCCCAAAAGCCAGUCUCUUUGUACACAAGAGAAAUGCCUCUAAUCUAGACUUUAUUAGACCGAUCAUUAUAUAAUGGCUUUAGAAACUCUGGACAAAACAGAGUAGUGGGUUCAGCCGACGGUAAUGUCAGACUGCUGUCAAUAAUCCCUAGCAGAUGCAAACGUGUGACCCUUUUUCCCAUAAUUGUUGAAUAUUUAUUUUUAUCUUAUAAUGUUAAUAAGGUUUAUUGUGCUGCAGAGAGAGCUGAUAUCACAUGACCUUCAUCUUCCUGACUCACAACAAAACCAGAAACAUUACACUGCCUGUCACGUCCUGUUGUUUAAUGAUAAUGUGUAGGUUAGUUGCUUUUCUUCUCCACACAAUAUUAUUUAUUCCUUUCGGACUGCCUUCCCUUAUUUGGAGUUGCCAUCGUGCUAAGCAAAAAAAGCGUAACUGAAAUAAGAGAUUCUGAAGCAUCUUUUCAGCAUGAGCAGUGGAAACAACAGAAAAAUAGAAACAGUUUUUAGACAGCACUCGAUCAGUUUAUAAAUGGCAUUAAAAGACGUGAUUGCCGAGAAGAGCAAGGACUGGAUUUGAAGAAGCAGGAGACACUGAGCAAUUCAGCCUUCCUAAAUAAGACCUAGAUAAAAGCCUGAGUAACCCCAGUCUCAGAAAACAAAAACAGACUAUGUGAAGGACGUGGGAGGUAAAACACAGUCUUCAUUUUCCUUGGAACAAAAUUAGCUCUCCUCAUGUCAAUUGGAGAUGGCGAGAGCCCAAAAUAAAGGUUUGCAUCUGGCCCUUUAUUUGCGUUGUGCUGAGCUGGGAUCCCCAGUGCAGAGAGCUCCUUUUGGAUCAGCUACGCUGGUAUUGCCUGGCACAUAAGAACCACGUGGACAGAGAUAGAAAAAUGCAAUAGCAUGGAGAACCAGACUGUAGCUUAGGCUGCAUCUUUUCAAAGUGCUGCAAGGAAAGGUGAGGUUGGUUCGUGGGUGGGUUAACGGGAUCUUCAUUUCACACACCUGGGAAUGAAUGGCUGCAGUUCCCUAAGCAUUGAGUACCAUUGCUGCAUCUGGGAACUGCAUCCCAGGAGGAGGAGCCUCAGCAGGGGGAGAAGCAAAGUGUGCUUCAGGCCCAGAACCUCCUGCCAGUCCCUGGACAGAGCAACCGCUGUGUCACACCAUUUGAUUCUUGUUCAGCUUAAGCAGGGGUGUGCAAAACUUCAUCAGUGCAACUCAGAAAAGCAAGCCCAAUGUGGGGAUACAAAGAAGCAUGGGAACAGCUGGGAAGUUGAACCCCUUGGGCUGGAAAUCAUCCUGCUGGAAUGAAUGGGACUGGUGGCAGAGGAGGUUCUCCACUUUCUGUGGGCAGGCACUCUGGCUUUGCACCAAGAGUUUGGGAAGCCCAGGAGAUGUAGCAUGUUGUCUGUGCCAGAGUUUUCCAGCUGCAUCUUUCUGAGUGCAAACUUUAUACGCUCUCAAAACAGCGAGGAUAAGUCAUUCUUGGUUUCGUUACACGCUUUAAAUGGAGUGAGAGCCCUCAGCAAUUCUAAAACAUUCCCUUUACAGGUUCAUUAAUGAGACCUAUGGGAAUUGGAUUGGGUUCUUCUUCACUGUUAUUUGGACUGUGAGAAAAAAAAAUGCAGAAAGGCAAAGCUGUUUUCAAGCCAGGACUUUUUUCCUAUCUCAAAACUGAAAUGUUUAUCAGGCUUGUGCUGCUAAGUCCCAAUAUUUGGGGUAUUUCUUAGAGUUGUGAGGAGACUUUUGGUUUUUUUUGUGUGUGUGUGUGUGCAUCUGUGGUUAAUUUUACUUACAUCUCUGUGAUCAGUUGUUUACACUGCUUUUUUAAACGUUAUUCUACAACUGAAAAUUAUAUCUCAUGCUAUAAAAAAAAGUUUUAGUCCAUGUGGUAGUGAAACAAUGUCGUACUUUUAUUUUAGUCAUAGUGUUUUCUAAGAGUUAGUGAAAUGAAUGCUAGGGUGCACUUGUGAAUUUGGCAGUGCAUCCCAAUUGCACUGACAUGAAAACCAAGCCUCUCUCCCCAGUGGUUUUGCACCAAUGUAUUUUCACUUGGGAUCAUUUUUGUUAGUACAAUAAAAGCUCCACUGUCCCAAGCCUGAUGCAGUUAUAUCAGUGAUGAAAAUGCUGUAUCUGGGUCUGGCUGUCCCCCAAAUCCUGAUAUCCAGUUUUCCUCCACUGCCUCUGAACUAGCACAAGCCAGGUCUUGGUUUUCAGCCUGUUACAUUGAUACUGAGGUAGCUAAUGCAUGACAGAUGUCAUGAUGAAAUCAUAGAUCCAGUGAGGUCACUGGCAAAGCUCCCAUUCAUGUAAAGAGUCACAAGGCUUUGUGCAGCACAAUUUCAGCUCCAUGUGCAUUACCCAAAACACAGGUCACCCCCAGUUGCAAGAUGGCUGCUUUUCCCAACACGGUGAUCAAAAAGCAGCAGUGUUCACAGUGUUUGUAACCAGCAAUUCACCGGCAUCCUUGGGCAUUUUCACAUAGUGGGCAAAUCCAACAGGGCAAUUGCCUCCGAAACCCUUCUGCCAAUAGUCAUUGGACAGCAAUGCUCUGUUGCUAUCCAGGAACACUACCACCUUUUGGCUUACUCCUGGCCGGCUGCCAGAUACCUGGGGACUGACAACCUAGAAACAUUGAUCCUGCUAUUUGGGGUUUCACCAGCAGUGCAGGCUCAGGGUUCAGCACACAGUUCUGGGAACCAUGGGGAAAUAAGGCUACAGUUCUGCUCCUGAGCUGGGAGAUAGGCCUCCGGGCGAGAUGCAUUUCUGUGCUUCAGAGCUGCAUGUGCUCCCAUGCUGUGCGUGUGGUUAUGCAAACAAAAGUAGCUUGUGCCGUAGAGCUGCAGUCCCUGUUCUGUGUCAUGUGCAGGCAUAGGGAAAGCUGCUUCGUGUCUCCCUUAGAGAAACAGUACAAGCAACACCAGCUUGGAUUUUUGGUGGCCCUCCAUGAAGCAGUUUGUGAACCGUUAGUGGCAUACUUGCUGCUAUCUGGGAAUCAAUGGGAGGCAGUGAUUCCCAUGGGAAGUGGUGAGAAACAGCAUCAUGUGCCCUGGCUAGACUCUGUGAUGCAGCGGUGCUUUAGAUACCCAGGUUAUUUACAGCUAGGCAGGAUAUUUCUGUCAUACACUGUGGUGAAGGAAAACCAAAAACUACUGGCUAUCUAGACACUAUUCAUCCAUAAGGAUAACUUAUUUUAUAAUCAAAAUGAACCAUUCAGCGUUAUGGACUGCAGUGGAAAAGAUUAGGCCUUCAACAUAAGUCAGAAGCAAAAGCUUAGUGCUGCCCCCCCCACCUUCACUGCAGUUCCUGUUCCUUGCCUCCAUCCAUUCAUGCAAGAGGAACUUCAGCAGAGGAAAGUGAUGCCUGAGCCCCCAGUCCCAGAAAACUCUGUAAGGCUGAGAAUACUGGCUAAAGAGUAAAACGGAUAUGUCACCAAGGCAGUGUGGGAUGGAUUAAUGAGAUAGAUGCAAACCACAAAUGUGUUGUUCUGUACAGUCAAACUUAAAGACUUACAUUCAGAAACAGAAUAUAGGCUGUAAUCCUACCUGGAAUCCUAGACUUCCUAUCUAGAAAGACCCUAUAAAAGAUCAGUGUGUCUAACAGUUCAGGAAGGUUGUGGCUGGGGUGAGGAGGAACCCAAGAAAGUCUACAGAACAAAAUGACUGAGUAUUGGAGAAUGUGGCGUGUAGUGACAGACUGGUGGAGACACUCCAUCUGUUUAGCUUAACGAAGACAAAGUUGAGAGAGAGGAUGACUUGAUCGCAGUCUCUGAGUACUGACAUAGCGAGCAGAAAUGUGAUAAUAGAAGGCUUUUCAGUUAAGCUGAUGCAACUGUAAUAUGAUCCAACUGGAAGCUGGAAGCCAGACAAAAUUUUGACUAUAAAUAAGGUGCAGAUGUUUAACAGUGAGGGUAAUUAACCAGUGGAACUAAUUAUCAAGAACUGUGGGGACAAACACCGACUUUAAAUCAG
Long non-coding RNA from Meleagris gallopavo (turkey), 5110 nucleotides. RefSeq lists it as uncharacterized. NCBI's taxonomy places the organism in Eukaryota, Metazoa, Chordata, Aves, Galliformes, Phasianidae. The record is from RefSeq and is a predicted model, not a curated record.